RNAcentral lists this ribosomal RNA (441 nucleotides) under Cyclodius obscurus. RNAcentral's name for it is "partial 16S ribosomal RNA". The stretch from base 321 to 441 matches the Rfam family "Bacterial large subunit ribosomal RNA", at positions 2473 to 2594 of the family's 2925-position model. Lineage: Eukaryota; Metazoa; Arthropoda; Malacostraca; Decapoda; Xanthidae. The record is from RNAcentral.
AAAGGUAGCAUAAUCAUUAGGGGUUUAAUUGGAACCUGGAAUGAAGGGUCGGACAAAGGAAUAACUGUCUAUAAAGUUUAGCUUGAAUUUUACUUUUAAGUGAAAAGGCUUAAAUAAAUCAAAGGGACGAUAAGACCCUAUAAAGCUUUAUAAAUAACUCAAAUCUAAUUGAUUUAAAUAUAAAUAUUGGAUUUAAUUAUUUUAUUUUAUUGGGGUGAUAUGAGUAUAAUUUUAGUUAACUACUUAUAAAGAAUUCUUUUAUAAAAGAUUGUAUAAAUGAAUGAUCCUUUGUAAAGAUUAGAAGACUAAGUUACUUUAGGGAUAACAGCGUUAUUUCUCUUGAGAGUUCAUAUCGAAAGAGAAGAUUGCGACCUCGAUGUUGAAUUAAAAUAUCUAUAUAGUGCAGCCGUUAUAAAAGAGGGUCUGUUCGACCUUUAAAUU